This 393-nucleotide ribosomal RNA is filed under the name uncultured bacterium. RNAcentral describes it as "bacterial SSU rRNA". It matches the Rfam family "Bacterial small subunit ribosomal RNA", at positions 30 to 425 of the family's 1533-position model. The record is from RNAcentral.
AUUGAACGCUGGCGGCAUGCCUUACACAUGCAAGUCGAACGGCAGCGGACUUUCGGGUGCCGGCGAGUGGCGAACGGGUGAGUAAUAUAUCGGAACGUACCUUUCAGUGGGGGAGUAACGUAGCGAAAGUUACGCUAAUACCGCAUAUUCUGUGAGCAGGAAAGCAGGGGAGUCGCAAGACCUUGCGCUGAUUGAGCGGCCGAUAUCAGAUUAGCUAGUUGGUGAGGUAAAGGCUCACCAAGGCGACGAUCUGUAGCGGGUCUGAGAGGAUGAUCCGCCACACUGGAACUGAGACACGGUCCAGACUCCUACGGGAGGCAGCAGUGGGGAAUUUUGGACAAUGGGCGCAAGCCUGAUCCAGCCAUGCCGCGUGAGUGAAGAAGGCCUCGGUUG